Molecule: ribosomal RNA, 253 nt
Filed under: uncultured bacterium
Lineage: Bacteria
Description: partial 16S ribosomal RNA
Rfam family: Bacterial small subunit ribosomal RNA
Source: RNAcentral
UACGUAGGGCGCAAGCGUUGUCCGGAUUUAUUGGGCGUAAAGAGCUCGUAGGCGGUUCGUCGCGUCGGCUGUGAAAUCCCGAGGCUCAACCUCGGGUCUGCAGUCGAUACGGGCGGACUGGAGUUCGGCAGGGGAGACUGGAAUUCCUGGUGUAGCGGUGAAAUGCGCAGAUAUCAGGAGGAACACCGGUGGCGAAGGCGGGUCUCUGGGCCGAUACUGACGCUGAGGAGCGAAAGCGUGGGGAGCGAACAGG